Cricetulus griseus (Chinese hamster) is the source of this 1990-nucleotide non-coding RNA. The record is from RefSeq and is a predicted model, not a curated record. NCBI's taxonomy places the organism in Eukaryota, Metazoa, Chordata, Mammalia, Rodentia, Cricetidae.
GGGUUGGAUGCAAAUAGUUUCUCGAUAAAACAGAAAUACAGAACUGGAGGGAAGAUGGGACGGGAGACUUGGCAGCCAUUCCGACAGAGACAGAAGUGACAGCUGUAGAGAAACAGCUGGGACCAAUCUGCUACAUUUGGAACCCUUGCUCCACUGCUCACAAGCCAUCGGACCUCAGACAAGUUUCUUCACCUUUCUGACACUGUUUCCUCUACUAACUACUCGUGGAAUCUCCAUGGAGACUAAGGAGAACUGACCCCAAGAUGACCUUUGUUUUCCUCCCCACUGUCUGUUAACUCCUCAAGUCUGGAUUCUGACGGAAGUGUGAACAGAAUGAAUGAGUGAGUGAAUGAAUGAGGAGCCGAUGAAAUGUUCAAGCUUGGGAUUCUCAUUUUGCAGUGGAAGAAACAAAAACAGCUAUAGUCCAGGGACAUGUACAUAACAGGGCCUGACCAGUCAAGAUUUGAACCCAGGCAACCUAAGCCCUUGCCUUUGUGGGGAUUGUGGGCAAGCGUUUAUUUGGGAAAGCUAACUGAGACCAAAGCUAUCUGGGUGAAAUACCCAGGCUAGCUCUGCACAGUCUAGAAAAUAAUAGUAUUGAAAUUGCAAAAGUCUCCACUGAUAAACUUUCAGAGCCGAAACCUCGAGAGACCAGAUGAGGUCAACCGAACAAACAAGCUGAUUCCAGGUCCUGUGGCUUGCUGCCCAUCUCUCUCCACUCCCACCCUGGAGAAGGCUGCAGCCUCCUCUCAGGUUUCCCCCUCACCCCCUUGGCUCUGUGAGUGUGAAUCUGCUGAUGGUUGCAGCUUGAGUAGGUGGAAUGUGGUGGGAAGGAAAAAGCAUUGGAGAAGUCAAGAAUAAAGGAAACAACUGGUUUUUCAGUUUCAGUAAUUAUAAAAUCAGUAGUGGUCCAUGGCAGACAUUGCAAUCCUGUUUCCUAGACUCUGUCUCCCACCCUCUUUCCAGCUAGAUAUGGUCACAGGACUCAAAUCAGGCCAUUCAGGUUAAGUCUUCCUUAAGUCCUUUUGUCCCCCACUCCCUUGGGCAGUCCUCCUGUCCAUGUCUCUCUUUGAAUGAAUAUGUAGCAAUUGGUUGUGUAGGGAUUAAAGACAUAUGUGAUAACUGGGGUAUGGAGGUACAAUGCAAAUAUGACUGAGAUCAAAUGCAUUAUGAGAACCGGGGUGCAGGACCUGACAUAUUUAGGCUGUGAAGGGAAAGCCAGGAACAUCUCAGACAUCAGUUCUGCAUUGUUGAGCUUUUAUACCACCAAAGUUCAGAGUUUUGCUGUUUUCAUCCAAGGAUGAUGCUAUCUACAAUAUCAUUAUAGAAAAGUUACAAAGAUACAGGAAAAAUUCUGUACCUAUUACACAGAAAUAACCAAACUUGUUAUUUCAACAUAUAUUCUUUCUCUUUUAUUGUUUUUUUUUCCAAAAAUACAGAAUAGAAACUCCAUUUGCAAGUGAUUCUUCCUGGUAUGCUGUGGUCACCUUUCUACCUUAGUUAUGUCCAUCUUUAUCACAUGGGUUUCCAAGAGUAGUUUAAUCCCAGAUUGCCAAAUAGCUGUUGCUUUCAGUUUUUUACAAUUGUUAACAAUAAUUGUUUGCACAUGUUUGUAAAUUCAUCUUUGUCUGAUUAUUUCCUUUAGAUUGCUAAAAUUGUUGGACUAAAAACAAUGCGUGUGUGUGUGUGUGUGUGUGUGUGUGUGUGUGUUGUGGAUGACGAUGUACAUACACUCAGAGGCUAGAACAGGGCAUCAGGUGUCUUCAUCUACCAUUCUCUUUCUUAUUGCUUUCAGAUAGGGUCUCUCACUGGACCAGAAGCUCACUGUUUUAGCUAGAUGUGACUUGCCAGUGAGCUCUGGGGACCUGCCUGUCUCUGCCUUCCAAUGCUGCAGUUACAGGCAUGCCCAGCUACACACUGUUGAUGGAGUUUCUGUUCCACCUGGUCCUGCCACCCUUCAGGCCCCAAUAAAUACACACUUUUAUUAAUU